GAGUAAUGUCUGGGAAACUGCCUGAUGGAGGGGGAUAACUACUGGAAACGGUAGCUAAUACCGCAUAACGUCGCAAGACCAAAGAGGGGGACCUUCGGGCCUCUUGCCAUCGGAUGUGCCCAGAUGGGAUUAGCUAGUAGGUGGGGUAACGGCUCACCUAGGCGACGAUCCCUAGCUGGUCUGAGAGGAUGACCAGCCACACUGGAACUGAGACACGGUCCAGACUCCUACGGGAGGCAGCAGUGGGGAAUAUUGCACAAUGGGCGC
This 267-nucleotide ribosomal RNA is filed under the name Escherichia coli. RNAcentral describes it as "partial 16S ribosomal RNA". It matches the Rfam family "Bacterial small subunit ribosomal RNA", at positions 108 to 378 of the family's 1533-position model. The record is from RNAcentral. Lineage: Bacteria; Pseudomonadati; Pseudomonadota; Gammaproteobacteria; Enterobacterales; Enterobacteriaceae. RNAcentral also lists the same sequence under 1 other name.